This 223-nucleotide ribosomal RNA is filed under the name uncultured bacterium. RNAcentral's name for it is "partial 16S ribosomal RNA". It matches the Rfam family "Bacterial small subunit ribosomal RNA", at positions 15 to 230 of the family's 1533-position model. The record is from RNAcentral.
GAUCAUGGCUCAGGAUGAACGCUAGCUACAGGCUUAACACAUGCAAGUCGAGGGGCAGCAUGGUCUUAGCUUGCUAAGGCCGAUGGCGACCGGCGCACGGGUGAGUAACACGUAUCCAACCUGCCGUCUACUCCUGGACAGCCUUCUGAAGGAAGAUUAUUACAAGAUGGCAUCAUGAGUUCACAUGUUCACAUGAUUAAAGGUAUUCCGGUAGACGAUGGGG